ACCCGCAACUAUAAAUUAUCAACCUCCUCCACUAUACAACCUCCCCCCAAACUUACUUCUCUCUUUCCUUGCAACUUCCUCAAACAAUAAAAACAACAACAACAACAACAUCGUAUAAGCAAGCGGCGAAAGUAGCACAAAGCAAACUAAAAGAAAAGGAAAAUGUCAGCAAAAUGCAGCAAAAUUCGCCACAUUGUACGGCUCCGUCAGAUGCUACGACGGUGGCGAAACAAAGCACGAAUGUCAGCUAAUCGUGCACCGUCCGAUGUACCAGCAGGACACGUGGCAGUUUGUGUAGGCGCUAACUACACCAGAUUUGUAGUACGCGCGACGUACCUGAACCAUCCUGUUUUCCAGAAGCUUCUAAUUCAAGCCGAAGAAGAGUACGGUUUCUCUAAUCACGGACCCAUUGCUAUCCCUUGUGAUGAAGCGCUUUUCGAAGAGGCUCUCCGCUUCAUUUCCCGCUCCGACUCCAGCCGCUAUGGUAAUAUCGACUUUGAAGAUUUUCAGAGCCGAUGCCACGUCGGAAUUAGAACUAACGUCGAUUUCUGGCCCGAAUCUCGACCGCUACUUCACGGUCUAACUGACAAAACCAUUUGGUAACGGUUCAACCCAACCAGACCGGUUCGAUGCGGUCCGGGUAAUGUUUGUUUAUUCUGCUAAUUAUUUGCUUUGCUGGCGUGUCUGAGAAAUUCACAAAUUGUGAAGGACCAUAAGGUAAUUUUGAAUUCGGUGCUGAUGAUUCGAUUCCUGUGGACGAGUUGGUUUUUGAGAGAAUUGGGAUUUUUACUUAAGACUCCACCAAGCAUUUAUUUACUUAUAGAAGGGAAAAAUUGUGGGUUUUACUUUUUUACCCCAAUUUUCCUUUUAAUAGUGUGAAUUGGAAAAUUUGAGCGAUGAGAUAUUUUUUAGGCCAUCUCAGUUGUAUUGUAUUUUAUUAUUUAUGUGCAUUAUAAUUUGCACUAUAGAAAAAUAAAACAAUUUUUACAAUGCUCCGAGGAAUGCUGAGGAGAUGGCUAAAACUGAGUCGUCCCGAGUUUGGAUCGGAGUGGAGGAGGCGAGUUGAUGAUCGAUCAUUCAAGCUGGGGAUAGGUUGCAAUGAGUUGUGGGAGUUAUAAUGAUACCAACCCACGUGAAAGUUAGAACAAAGUCUCUGCCCUCACUUGCUCUGAUUUCAUCUGAUUUUGUUUUGUCCCAUCCCAUCCCAAACAUCAACCUUCUAUCUCCGGUUUAUUAGGGUAAUUGUGUUCCUUCUAUAUUAACCUCUUACAUCUUAUAGAACUAAAAUUUAAUUUCUUUUGCGAGAUUUAUUAUUGUUUA
Non-coding RNA from Cicer arietinum (chickpea), 1320 nucleotides. Lineage: Eukaryota; Viridiplantae; Streptophyta; Magnoliopsida; Fabales; Fabaceae. The record is from RefSeq and is a predicted model, not a curated record.